Molecule: ribosomal RNA, 468 nt
Filed under: uncultured bacterium
Lineage: Bacteria
Description: partial 16S ribosomal RNA
Rfam family: Bacterial small subunit ribosomal RNA
Source: RNAcentral
GACGAACGCUGGCGGCGUGCUUAACACAUGCAAGUCGAACGGAAAAGCCCUGCUUUUGUGGGGUGCUCGAGUGGCGAACGGGUGAGUAACACGUGAGUAACCUGCCCUUGACUUUGGGAUAACUUCAGGAAACUGGGGCUAAUACCGGAUAGGAGCUCCUGCUGCAUGGUGGGGGUUGGAAAGUUUCGGCGGUUGGGGAUGGACUCGCGGCUUAUCAGCUUGUUGGUGGGGUAGUGGCUUACCAAGGCUUUGACGGGUAGCCGGCCUGAGAGGGUGACCGGCCACAUUGGUACUGAGAUACGGCCCAGACUCCUACGGGAGGCAGCAGUGGGGAAUAUUGCGCAAUGGGCGGAAGCCUGAUGCAGCAACGCCGCGUGCGGGAUGACGGCCUUCGGGUUGUAAACCGCUUUCGCCUGUGACGAAGCGUGAGUGACGGUAAUGGGUAAAGAAGCACCGGCUAACUACGUG